RNAcentral lists this ribosomal RNA (464 nucleotides) under uncultured bacterium. Its description in RNAcentral is "partial 16S ribosomal RNA". It matches the Rfam family "Bacterial small subunit ribosomal RNA", at positions 28 to 507 of the family's 1533-position model. The record is from RNAcentral.
GACGAACGCUGGCGGCGUGCUUAACACAUGCAAGUCGAACGGAAAGGCCCUGCUUGCAGGGUACUCGAGUGGCGAACGGGUGAGUAACACGUGGGUGAUCUGCCCUGCACUUCGGGAUAAGCUUGGGAAACUGGGUCUAAUACCGGAGAGGAACCAUCCUUCUUGUAGUGGUUGGAAAGUUUUUUCGGUGUAGGAUGAGCUCGCGGCCUAUCAGCUUGUUGGUGGGGUAAUGGCCUACCAAGGCUGCGACGGGUAGCCGGCCGGAGGGGGUGACCGGCCAAAUUGGGACUGAGAUACGGCCCAGACUCCUACGGGAGGCAGAAGUGGGGAAUAUUGCACAAUGGGCGGAAGCCUGAUGCAGCAACGCCGCGUGGGGGAUGAAGGCCUUCGGGUUGUAAACCCCUUUCGCCAGGGACGAAGCUUUUGUGGAGGUAAUGGGUAAAGGAGGACCGGGUAAAUAAGGG